GAGUUGUGCGUCUCUAAGCCAUGGUAGAGACGCGGCGUACGGCUCAGUAACAUGUGGCUAACCUACCCUUAGGACGGAGACAACCCCGGGAAACUGGGGCUAAUACCCGGUAGAUUAGGAGGCCUGGAAUGGUUUCUAGUCGAAAAGGCGUUGAAACCAUGCUUUUCGACGUCGCCUAAGGAUGGGGCCGCACCUGAUCAGGUUGUUGGUGGGGUAACGGCUCACCAAGCCUAUAACCGGUACGGGCCGUGAGAGCGGGAGCCCGGAGAUGGGCACUGAGACAAGGGCCCAGGCCCUACGGGGCGCAGCAGUCGCGAAAACUCCGCAAUGCGCGAAAGCGUGACGGGGCUACCCCGAGUGCCGUCCGCUGAGGAUGGCUUUUCCCCGGUGUAAUGAGCCGAGGGAAUAAGGAGAGGGCAAGACUGGUGUCAGCCGUCGUGGUAAUACCAGCUCUCCGAGUGGUACGGAUGAUUAUUG
Molecule: ribosomal RNA, 477 nt
Filed under: uncultured archaeon
Lineage: Archaea
Description: bacterial SSU rRNA
Rfam family: Archaeal small subunit ribosomal RNA
Source: RNAcentral